This is a long non-coding RNA of Vespa mandarinia (Asian giant hornet), 1068 nucleotides long. The record is from RefSeq and is a predicted model, not a curated record. Lineage: Eukaryota; Metazoa; Arthropoda; Insecta; Hymenoptera; Vespidae.
CUCCAGAUUGCAGCCAAUCAUAACAGGGAAUAUUUUUCAAUUGGCCAAUGAAAUGCCUGGAAGGAACGAAUCCCCUUUUCGUAUUAACGAAGAAAUAUCAACAAAUAGUUUCAACGACGUUGGCAAAUCCAAAAAUGUAUUCUCUCCGAAGGACAUCUUGUCUUUUCGUAAUAUUGAGAGAUUCACUGACCGCAGCUUGGAUAAUCAAAGAAAGUUUCACGUAUUGAACUUCCGAAGGAAUGUUGUUGAAAGGGCAUGUGGUGAUCGAAUACUAGAGAAGAAGAGGAGAAAGAAAAAGGAGGGAAAAAAUGUAGGCAAAAGAGAAAGAAGUUCCCCGGUUUCUUUGUUUCUCUCGUUUUCGCGAGGGAUAGUCACACACGCACUCACUCAUUCGGAGGGCCGCUCCUGUGACACGUAAUGGUGCGCGCGAUUCAUAUCGGAGCGAACGCACUGUAACGCGAGGAACGCUCCGCCCUAUGAACGUCGAGAGAGUCCAGUAUCAAGAAGGAAAGGACGCCUGUGGCAACAACUGUGGUUUCGUUUUCCUAAGUUGUUGCCGCCGCCGCUGCUACUGUUGCUGUUGCUGUUGCUGCCGUUGCUGCAUCUUGGUAAGUGUGUACGCGAUAGCAAGAGAAAGAGAAUUUGAUAGAACGCGAGAAUCGGCGAGCACGCGCGAUACGUGCUUCAUGUAACUACAUAAGUAAAACCUUGUAUUAUAUACCUAUACAUACACACACACACACACACACACACACAUAUGUACAUGCGUGUUCGUUUCCCUUAUUCCUUCUUACUCUUCUUUUCCUCCUCGUUCUCCUCCCUCAUCCUUUUCCACCUUUUCAUCCUUCUGUCUUUCUUGCUUUGAACACAUCCGUAUCUCAUAUCUCAUCCCCCGUUCAUUCGCGUCCCUUUCGCGCGCAGUCUCCGUCAUUUUUCCUCUCUAUUAUAUCCAGACAGACCUUCGAAAUCUCGUGUCGUUUAAACGUUUCCCUCGUUUAUACAUUUUCCCCCCGAUAGGUUCUCUCUCUCUCUCUCUCUCUCUCUCUCUCGCUCGCUCUCUCUCUCUCU